AGUUUGAUUAUGGCUCAGAUUGAACGCUGGCGGGAUGCUUUACACAUGCAAGUCGAACGGCAGCACGGACUUCGGUCUGGUGGCGAGUGGCGAACGGGUAUAAUGUGUAUCGGAACGCCUAGUAGGGGGAUAACUACGCGAAAGCGUAGCUAAUACCGGGCAUACGCCCUUCGGGGAAAGCGGGGACCUUUCGCCUCGCACUAUUAGAGCGGCCGAUAUCGGAUUAGCUAGUUGGUGGGGUAACGGCUCACCAAGGUUAAUGAUCCGUAGCUGGUUGAGAGGUGACUUACCAUCUUAUCAGACUGACAUGCCAGACUUACUGAGGCAGUAAAUUUUAUGGACGUAAAUUGAUCGAUCCGCGCAAAAGUGAUGAAGGCUUCUUGCCGUAAAGACUUUGAUGAAAAGAACUGACGGAUACAAUUUUGAGAAUCGAUUUGCAUCUUCGAUAAUGUUGAUUAUGACUACGUUACGCAAGACACAAGUAAAGAGAUGCUGACUGACGAUUGCAAGGCGCGGUGUCUGAAGAAAAUAUUUGACUACGGUUUUGCAACUUUUAAACUGCAUUAAUCGUUCAGAAUAGAGUAAAACAGAGGAGUAGUGGAAGGCAAGAAAUAAGUAGAUGCGGAGGAACACUGAUGGCGAAGGCAGUCUUCUAGACAAAUCACUGAUCAGCUCGUGCGAACGGUGCGUGAAACAGUAUUAGAGUAACCUUGUGGUUCAUUUACCUGUCGAUGCUUAGAACUAGCUGUUGAAGGCCUUCGUACCAGUGAGUGUGCCAACGCGUGAAGGUUAACUGUCUGGGGAGUAUAACGCAAGAUUAAAACUCAAAGGAAUUGACGGGGACCUGCACAAGCGGUGGAUGAUGUGGAUUAAUUCGAUGCAACGCGAAAAACCUUACCUACCCUUGACAUGUCUUUGGAAUCCCGAAGAGAUUUUGGGAGUGCUCGCAAGAGAACCGGAACACAGGUGUUGCAUGGCUGUCGUCAGCUCGUCGUGAGAUGUUGGGUUAAGUCCCGCAACGAGCGCAACCCUUGUCAUUAGUUGCUACGAAAGGGCACUCUAAUGAGACUGCCGGUGACAAACCGGAGGAAGGUGGGGAUGACGUCAAGUCCUCAUGGCCCUUAUGGGUAGGGCUUCACACGUCAUACAAUGGUCGGGACAGGAGGGUCGCCAACCCGCGAGGGGGAGCCAAUCCCAGAAACCCACUGUAGUCCGGAUCGCAGUCUGCAACUCGACUGCGUGAAGUCGGAAUCGCUAGUAAUCGCGGAUCAGCAUGUCGCGGUGAAUACGUUCCCCGGGUCUUGUACACACCGCCCGUCACACCAUGGGAGUGGGUUUUACCAGAAGUAGUUAGCCUAACCGUAAGGAGUGGGCGAUUACCACGGUAGGAUUCAUGACUGGGGUGAAGUCGUAACAAGGUAA
This 1422-nucleotide ribosomal RNA is filed under the name uncultured Bordetella sp. RNAcentral describes it as "partial 16S-23S ribosomal RNA intergenic spacer". It matches the Rfam family "Bacterial small subunit ribosomal RNA". Lineage: Bacteria; Pseudomonadati; Pseudomonadota; Betaproteobacteria; Burkholderiales; Alcaligenaceae. The record is from RNAcentral.